Molecule: non-coding RNA, 425 nt
Organism: Pelobates cultripes (western spadefoot toad)
Lineage: Eukaryota; Metazoa; Chordata; Amphibia; Anura; Pelobatidae
Source: the annotation of a GenBank genome assembly
GGGAAAUUGAAUUCCGAACUCUGUGUUAUUAACCCUAAUUCACACUAUAUUACAGGGAAAUUGCAUGCAGAACUAAAAUAUGGCACUUUCGAUUAUGUAAAUCGAUUGCUAUUUAUUACAUACACCCCAAAGUGCUUAUGCUAUUCUUGUGGACAGUUCCCAAACGUGGGACAACAGGGAACUAAGGUGGGACAGAACCUAAAAACAGGAGUAGCCCGCCAAACGCUUGAGAGGUGGGAGGCUUGUUGAUGAUGUAACAAUUCCCUGAAAAAUGUUAUUUGUAUCGCAAAAUGACUGAUCAAACAUCUUUUGAUCUCUAAAGUAGAUGGGCGUGCAUUUGUGUGCUGAAAAGUUUCUCAACUCUCCGUCUUUUCAUCUACAGAAAAAAGUAAAAAAUUAACACUUAGUUUCAUGACGUAAUGCCC